Molecule: ribosomal RNA, 497 nt
Filed under: uncultured bacterium
Lineage: Bacteria
Description: partial 16S ribosomal RNA
Rfam family: Bacterial small subunit ribosomal RNA
Source: RNAcentral
GACGAACGCUGGCGGCGUGCCUAAUACAUGCAAGUUGAGCGCUGAAGGUUGGUACUUGUACCAACUGGAUGAGCAGCGCACGGGUGAGUAACGCGUGGGGAAUCUGCCUUUGAGCGGGGGACAACAUUUGGAAACGAAUGCUAAUACCGCAUAAAAACUUUAAACACAAGUUUUAAGUUUGAAAGAUGCAAUUGCAUCACUCAAAGAUGAUCCCGCGUUGUAUUAGCUAGUUGGUGAGGUAAAGGCUCACCAAGGCGAUGAUACAUAGCCGACCUGAGAGGGUGAUCGGCCACAUUGGGACGGAGACACGGCCCAAACUCCUACGGGAGGCAGCAGUAGGGAAUCUUCGGCAAGGGACGAAAGUCUGACCGAGCAACGCCGCGUGAGUGAAGAAGGUUUUCGGAUCGUAAAACUCUGUUGGUAGAGAAGAACGUUGGUGAGAGUGGAAAGCUCAUCAAGUGACGGUAACUACCCAGAAAGGGACGGCUAACUACGUG